AAGGCGGGCUGGAAUCUCUCGGGGUUACAGCCUUGCUGAAUUAUUCACCCUUGUCUUUUGCGUACUUCUUGUUUCCUUGGUGGGUUCGCCCACCACUAGGACAAACAUAAACCUUUUGUAAUUGCAAUCAGCGUCAGUAACAAAUUAAUAAUUACAACUUUCAACAACGGAUCUCUUGGUUCUGGCAUCGAUGAAGAACGCAGCGAAAUGCGAUAAGUAGUGUGAAUUGCAGAAUUCAGUGAAUCAUCGAAUCUUUGAACGCACAUUGCGCCCUUUGGUAUUCCAAAGGGCAUGCCUGUUCGAGCGUCAUUUGUACCCUCAAGCUUUGCUUGGUGUUGGGCGUCUUGUCUCUAGCUUUGCUGGAGACUCGCCUUAAAGUAAUUGGCAGCCGGCCUACUGGUUUCGGAGCGCAGCACAAGUCGCACUCUCUAUCAGCAAAGGUCUAGCAUCCAUUAAGCCUUUUUUCAACUUUUGACCUCGGAUCAGGUAGGGAUACCCGCUGAACUUAAGCAUAUCAAUAAGCGGAGGAA
This 530-nucleotide ribosomal RNA is filed under the name Alternaria alternata. RNAcentral describes it as "eukaryotic LSU rRNA". The stretch from base 156 to 309 matches the Rfam family "5.8S ribosomal RNA". The record is from RNAcentral. RNAcentral also lists the same sequence under 3 other names. Lineage: Eukaryota; Fungi; Ascomycota; Dothideomycetes; Pleosporales; Pleosporaceae.